GGGACAGGGGAAAGCUUCAACAAUUUCACCUAGCAUUAAUAGUAAAUUAAGUUGGACCGCAUGGCAUUGUUCAUAACAUGUCUCCAAGUUGUCAUGGAUGUAAACCACCAUGUAUCAUGGACCAUAUUGAUCAAUUUUGUCUCACAAUUACAAAGUUGGCACAUACAAUUAUAUAUGAUCACCUUGGUAAUUGGUACCAAUCUAAAAGUAGUUUUUAAAGGGAUGAAUACCCAUAGGAACUUAAUCCUCGUCGCU
RNAcentral lists this long non-coding RNA (255 nucleotides) under Elaeis guineensis (African oil palm). RNAcentral's name for it is "long non-coding RNA (EGUI_LNC023831)". Lineage: Eukaryota; Viridiplantae; Streptophyta; Magnoliopsida; Arecales; Arecaceae. The record is from RNAcentral.